GUCACUUUUCACGUUAUUGGAAUUGUCUUGAAUCUUCCGCGUCGGCAGACAGUACACCAAGCAUGGCAGAAUUUGGCCCUCCUGACGAAGGCUAAUUGCAUGGGUUCUUUUCAAAUUCCGAGGUCAUUAGUUGAGUUAAAAAAUAGACUUGUCCAAUUUCUUCUAGAUAAUAUGGCUGUAAAAUUUCUGUGAGCGUUUCAUAAGCUGAUUUUCAGUUACAA
This is a non-coding RNA of Paramuricea clavata, 221 nucleotides long. NCBI's taxonomy places the organism in Eukaryota, Metazoa, Cnidaria, Anthozoa, Malacalcyonacea, Plexauridae. The record is from the annotation of a GenBank genome assembly.